UGCUGGCUUGGUUGGCUACUGCUGUGAGGCGAGAAGUAUCAACAAUCCGUUUCGUUCAGUUUUAGAUUUCACAAAAAAAAUUGGACUUAAUCCGUAAAUAAAUGUAUAGUUUUACUGUUUAAAGGAUAUAUUAUUUGUGCUUGAUUGUUGUUGUGUUGUUGAAUCGAUGAUACGAUGGGCUUUAUGUCAUCAUCAUGUACGUCAAUGUUAACAAUAACACAUCUCCUUUGUCUAAAUCAUGUUUAUGCAGAUUUUUGCGAAUUUAUGAUUUGUCAUCCAUCUGAGCAGUACUGCUGUGGGGAUAACAAAUGUUGCAAUUACUACAACUAUAGCACAUGGUACUUAUGGGGCAUAGCUGCACUGAUUGGGCUGUUGUUGGUGGCUUUGUACUAUAUCUCCCGUUUAAAUUCCUGCAGGGAUCGGGACCCAGAAAGUGAUAAAGCUCCUAUUGUCAUCAGAUAGGAACCCCAUCCCCAGGAGUUUUGAGUUUGGCAAAUUAGAAUCUGUAAUCUGUCAAUACAAUUGUUGUAAAUGUUUGUUAUAUGAAUAGUAUAUUGUGUACUUAAUAACUGCAAAAGCUCAUACCAGCUUUAAAAUAAUAUUCAGAUCUUUCUAUUGGUUUUCUAUAAUCUUCAAUCAUAGUUGGUGUAUGAAUUUAUUAAUUGAAUUAUUUUAAACCUAUGAAUUUGCUUUUGUUUAUGACAUAUCUCUAGUUUGUAAUGGGCUUGCAAAUAAAUUAUUUAUUUCAUACUUAUAUUAAAAUGUAAGCCCAAUACAUUUUUGGAGCCUAAAACCCUCUUUAAAAUAUUUACCCAUUCUGCAUUUAGGCGAUUAAUUAAUUAGAUAAUUUUAUUCUUAGAUAACAAGAUUCUACCUUACUUAUCUCUUUAUUUUUGAAUUGACUUAGGAUGCAACGUAGUAGUGUAUUUAUAGUCAAUGAUUAUAGUUUGGCAUGUUUACUCUAUAACUUAUACAAUUGAAAUAAUGGCUUUACCUUAAAAUUGAUCAGUCCAAACUUUAUUUUUCCAUGAAAUAUUAUAUUCUGACAAAGACUUUAAUCACAAAAUGGUAAGUUUCUAUGUACAAUGAUACCAUUCAUUCCAAGUUUAUGUUAAACAAUUAUCUGUUGUUAUUAUUGUGGUUUAAGAUUGACUGAUGUAUUAGCUUUAUUCAUAUUUAAAUAAUCUAUUAAAAUUUGCAUUAAUACCUUUUAGCCUACUAUAUUUUAGUGACAACUAGGUAUGUCACAUCAUAUCAAACAACGUGCUAUCUUACAGGGACAUUUCCAUUAAACAAAUUAUUGUGUUCUAAUAACAACUGUUUUCCUCCAACUAACUAGGUACUUGUGAAUAAUAUCAAGGCCCCACUAGAAAAACAGGCCAUGCUCCAGGAUCCAUGACGUCACACUAGUGGAUUCAUUGAUAGAUUCAAUGCCAUAUCCCAUAUGUUUUUGGUAAAUGAGCUGGCUGUUGUCAGAUUUUAAUGGUAAGAGUUUAGUACAACUAUCCACCACUGUGACGUAGUCAGUGGCGGACUUACCUACGGCGCCGCCUUGGGUUUCGCGAAAAAAAAAGGAUUCAACGUAUAAGCGAGAUUAAAUUUCCCGUUGUUGGGUUAUACGUUCCCGCUUAUUAAUGCAUUAUUCCAAGAAAGACAUAGUACAAUAUGAGUACAUUAUAUUAAAGUUGUAUUUAUAUGUUUUAAGAAAAACAUAUAUUUUGUGGUUGAUUCAAGAAUGAAUAUGAAUAGCCUAAAUUAAUCGCUGAAUGUAUUGCCGUUCUUGAUUUUAAAUUUAGCAUUCAAAACAGCGUACAAUAAUUUGAUUUAUAAUAAACUGUGUUGUAACAUCUUUAUAUGAGUUGUGUAUACAAUGUUACAUUUAACUUCAACUUUAAAGGAAUAGAGAGGCUCUUUAUUUAUUUUAUUUUUAGGAUCUUACUCAAAACACAAUUUUAUCCGAUUAUAUUUAAAGAUUCUAUGCAGUUAUUUGUUAUACUGUUACACUUUAUGCAUUAAAUAAAUAAGUACAAGUAUGGCUUUUUGGAUAUUAUGACUGUCGGCCGGGCGCCCCUCAACGGCGGGCGCCACUAGGCAUGUGCCUAGUGUGCCUUACGGUAACGGUAAGUCGGCCACUGGACGUAGUGUUGCGCUGCAGCAUGGCCUGUUUUUCUAGUGACCCCUUAAUAAUAUGACCAGCUGUUUUGUUUUUAUCAAAAUCCAGCUACACAACACCCAGGAAUUCCUUAUAAGUCAUUUGAUUUAAUGGAAAUGUACCUUAAAGAUUGAAAAAUCAUAGACAACAGAAUAAAAUAUAGACCGACAAAGGAAGGUUCCGCGAUGUGCUGCUAGAGCGUGCUCAGUGUUCCGUCGAUUUGCUGCCGUCGUCAACUCGCCAUCUGCUACCAGCACUACCACCCUUGCAAACAAAAUGCUACCAACGUAUCAGAUCCACUGUUCAAUAUGGGUAAAGUACAAAAUCCCGUAACUUUAACAAAAAAGACCUUUUUUUAACAAAAAUUCCCAGAAAUUUUAAAAACACAGAAAAAUAACAGAACAAAUUCCAACUCCCCGGAUUCCAGGGAAUUCUCCAGAAGUUGGUAACACUGGCUCCAACUACCAAGUUGUCAUGGCAACGCUUGCUAGCACUUGAUGCUGCAGCAGAAUGCGCUGAAACUACACGGCACUCCUAGCGGUGGACGCGAAAAUAUAUGCUAACUGCAGCACUGCUGUCAGUCUAUAUUUCUUUAAUUCUUUUGUCUAUGGUAAAACACACUUAGGCUACUUAACUUAUCUCUAGAAGUACAAAUGAGAUUAUCUACCUGUAUCCAACUACUCUGUAUCCCGGUUAUAUUGUAGACUCUAGUUUGUUGUUAACUGUUAGUGAAAAUGUUGUAAACCUA
Molecule: long non-coding RNA, 2900 nt
Organism: Macrosteles quadrilineatus (aster leafhopper)
Lineage: Eukaryota; Metazoa; Arthropoda; Insecta; Hemiptera; Cicadellidae
Exons: 3
Source: RefSeq, a predicted model, not a curated record